RNAcentral lists this ribosomal RNA (508 nucleotides) under uncultured bacterium. RNAcentral's name for it is "partial 16S ribosomal RNA". It matches the Rfam family "Bacterial small subunit ribosomal RNA", at positions 28 to 523 of the family's 1533-position model. The record is from RNAcentral.
GAUGAACGCUAGCUACAGGCUUAACACACGCAAGUCGAGGGGAAAUGACAUCGAAAGCUUGCUUUUGAUGGGCGUCGACCGGCGCACGGGUGAGUAACGCGUAUCCAACCUGCCCACCACUUGGGGAUAACCUUGCGAAAGUAAGACUAAUACCUAAUGACGUCUCUAGAAGACAUCUGAAAGAGAUUAAAGAUUUAUCGGUGAUGGAUGGGGAUGCGUCUGAUUAGCUUGUUGGCGGGGUAACGGCCCACCAAGGCGACGAUCAGUAGGGGUUCCGAGGGGAAGCUCCCCCACAUUGGAACUGAGACCCGGUCCAAUCUCCGACCGGAGGCAGCUGUGAGUAAUAUUGGUCACUGGGCGAGAGCCUGAACCAGCCAAGUAGCGUCCAGGAUGACGGCCCUAUGGGUUGUAAACUGCUUUUAUAAGGGAAUAAAGUGAGUCUCGUGAGACUUUUUGCAUGUACCUUAUGAAUAAGGACCGGCUAAUUCCGUGCCAGCCGCCGCGGUAA